CUAUGCGCCUUGCCAGCCCGCUCAGGUGUGCCAGCCGCCGCGGUAAUACGUAGGGAGCAAGCGUUGUCCGGAAUUACUGGGCGUAAAGGGCGCGUAGGUGGGCGCUUAAGUCAGGUGUGAAAACUCCGGGCUCAACCUGGAGACUGCACUUGAAACUGGGUGUCUUGAGGGCAGGAGAGGAAAGUGGAAUUCCUAGUGUAGCGGUGAAAUGCGUAGAUAUUAGGAGGAACACCAGUGGCGAAGGCGACUUUCUGGACUGUACCUGACGCUGAGGCGCGAAAGCGUGGGUAGCGAACGGG
This 299-nucleotide ribosomal RNA is filed under the name uncultured bacterium. Its description in RNAcentral is "partial 16S ribosomal RNA". It matches the Rfam family "Bacterial small subunit ribosomal RNA", at positions 471 to 776 of the family's 1533-position model. The record is from RNAcentral.